GGAGGGGUAGCGAAGUGGCUAAACGCGGCGGACUGUAAAUCCGCUCCCUCUGGGUUCGGCAGUUCGAAUCUGCCCCCUCCACCA
This 84-nucleotide transfer RNA is filed under the name Oceanobacillus caeni. RNAcentral's name for it is "tRNA-Tyr". It matches the Rfam family "tRNA". From Rfam's summary of the family: Transfer RNA (tRNA) molecules are approximately 80 nucleotides in length. Lineage: Bacteria; Bacillati; Bacillota; Bacilli; Caryophanales; Bacillaceae. The record is from RNAcentral.